AUGGUGAAGGUCGGUGUGAAUGGAUUUGGCUGUAUGGGGCGCUUGAUUACCAGAGCAGCCAUCUGCUCUCCACUUGGCAUAGUGGAGAUUGUCGCCAUCAACUACUCCUUCAUUAACCUCAACUACAUGGUUCCAGUAUGAUUCAACCCAUGGCAAUUCAAUGGCACAGUCAAGGCUGAAAAUGGGAAGCUUGUCAUCAACAUGAAGCCCAUCACCAUCUUCCAGGAGCAAGAUUCCACUAACUUCAAAUGGGGUGAUGCUGGUGCUGAGUAUGUUGUGGAGUCUAUUGUCAUCUUCACCACCAUGAAAAAGGCUGGGGCCCACUUGAAUGGUGGGGCCAAAUUGUUCCUAUCUCUGCCCCUUAUGUCAAUGUGCCCAUGUUUGUUAUGGCUGUGAACCAGGAGAAAUAUGACAACUUACUCAAGAUUGUCAGCAAGGCAUCCUGCACCACCAACUGCUUAGCACCCCUGACACCAACAAUCCAUGACAACUUUGGCAAUGUGGAAGGGCUCAUGAUCAUGGUCCAUGCCAUUACUGCCACUCAGAAAACUGUGGAUGGCCCCUCUGGAAAGCUGUGGCAUGAUGGCCAUGGGGCUGCCCAGAACAUCAUCCCUGCAUCCACUGGUGCUGCCAAGACUGUAGGCAAGGUCAACCCAUAGCUGAACGGGAAGCUCACUGGCAUGGCCUUCCGUGUUCCUACCCCCAAUGUAUCCAUUGUGGACCUGAAUGCCUCCUGUAGAAACCUUCCAAGUAUGAUGACAUCAAGAAAGUGGUGAAUCAGGCGUGUGAGGACCCACUGAAGGGCAACCUGGGCUACACUGAGGACCAGGUUGUCUCCUGUGACUCCAACAGCAACUUCCACUCUUCCAACUUUUAUGCUGGGUCUGGCAUUGCUCUCAAUGACAACUUUGUAAAGCUCAUUUCCUGGUAUGACAUUGAAUUUGGCUACAGCAAUAGGGUGGUGGACCUCCUGGCCAACAUGGCCUCCAAGGAGUAA
This is an RNA transcript of Mus pahari (shrew mouse), 997 nucleotides long. It is a transcript of the gene named glyceraldehyde-3-phosphate dehydrogenase-like, with no coding region annotated. The record is from RefSeq and is a predicted model, not a curated record. Lineage: Eukaryota; Metazoa; Chordata; Mammalia; Rodentia; Muridae. The transcript is spliced from 2 exons.